AAUGGGGGAAAACAGCUAUCGAACCAAACCAAUCAACCUCGGCGGCUAAAACCCUAGCUCUCUCCCGCCGCCGGCGAGAGUCCGCAGCCAUGGAGCACCUCCGGUGGCGCACCUCGGUGAACGAGCGCGAAUUCAUUGAGACCGCCCUCCAGUCCGACCUCCGCGUCGACGGCCGCCACUCCUUCGACUUCCGCAAACUCAGGAUUAGCUUCGGCAGGGAGGAUGGCUCGUCGGAGGUGCAGCUCGGGGAGACGCACGUGCUGGGCUAUGUGACCGCGCAGCUAGUCCAGCCCUACAGGGACAGGCCGAAUGAGGGGACUCUGGCCAUAUUCACCGAGUUCUCGCCCAUGGCCGACCCAGCCUUUGAGCCUGGGCGUCCAGGGGAAUCAGCAAUUGAGCUUGGCCGAGUCAUUGACCGUGGCCUCAGGGAGAGCCGGGCUGUGGACAUGGAGUCCCUGUGUGUUGUUGCUGGGAAGCAUGUCUGGUCCGUGCGUGUUGACCUUCACAUCUUGGACAACGGAGGGAAUCUCAUUGAUGCAGCUAACAUUGCUGCAUUGGCCGCUUUGUCUACUUUCCGGAGGCCGGAAUGCACAGUUGGUGGGGAUGAUGGUCAACAAGUUAUAGUGCAUGAUCCUGAGGUCAGGGAUCCACUCCCUCUUACAAUUCAUCAUAUGCCCAUUGCUGUAACCUUUGCAUAUUUUGGUGAAGGUAACAUUGUGGUUGUUGAUCCCACAUACAAGGAAGAAGCAGUAAUGGGAGGGAGGAUGACUGCUACGAUUAACUCAAAUGGUGAUAUUUGUGCCAUCCAGAAAGCUGGUGGGGAGGGUGUCAUGUCAAGUGUUGUCAUGCAGUGUUUAAGAAUUGCUUCUGUUAAGGCUGCUGAUAUAACAAGCAAAAUAAAGAAAGCAGUAAGUGGGCCCUCAAAGAUUAGCCAAGGUGUCCAUGUUUUGAUACGUUCUAAAAUGAACAAGUUAAAAUCAAAUCAUGCAAAUGAUGGAUAUUGCAUUAUAGUGAAAUUCUAUGGUACUUUACUUUUGUAUUAAAAAUUCCGUCUCUACCUACAUAGAGAUUAAGUUGCAUAUUUACUUAGUUGAAAAAAUGUUCACUUGCACUACAUUACCAUUUGCAGCAGACUACAUUCCCCAUUGUACUCAACAGAAAUAGGUUCACUUAUAGUAGCAAUCUUUCCACUAGAAACAUGGAAAAUUUAGGUAAGUGCUAGGUGAGGUGGUACUGGUGGGCUCACAUGUUGUGUGAGAGGACAGCGAGCACAAAUGGGUGGGAGGUAGCGCUAGGUGAGGUGGUACUGGUGGGCCCACAUGUUGCAGCUGAUUAUUUUGUGAGAGGGAAGAGGGUUUUGAGGUAGACUCAUACACCACUGAGAAAGCUUUAAAGAAAGUAAAGCGUUUACCAGCCACGUUGCCUCAGAAAAUUAAUGUAACUGAUGUAACUAUGGAGGACAAAGUUGAUGAUGAAUUGGAGACUCAAACUGUGAAGACACCCAGUGAUGUUCAGGAGAUAAGCAAAGGUGAUGAGGACCAUCGAAAUAUAAAAGGGAAUCCACUCUUGACUGGGGACAGAAUUGCUAAACACAAACAAACAUCAACAUUCAGUGGUGGUCCAUCAAAUUGGUAGCAAUUAGCCUGAUGUUUUGUUUCCCAAGUUCAAGCAUCAAAUAUUUGCUUGACACAAGUUUUGCCAACUGGUCCUGAUUUUUGCCAUGUAGGGACCCAUAUUCUAAAGGAGUUUCAUUAAGCUCCCUCAGAAUUUCACAGUUGCCGGAUCCAGCAACUACAGGUAAGGCCAGAAGCCAUGAGGAUGCACAACCAAUGUUAACUGAAUCAUCUAAUGCUGAGGUGAAAAUCACAUCAAGCUCUGGGGCUGUUGGAGAGUCUGAAGAGGCCCAGGAAAUUGGGUCGCCAAAGAGCCUAAAAGAUGCUAUUAAACCAAAACACAAAAGAAAGAAGAACAAAAAGUGACAGGAGUUAGAUUAAUUGCAAGCCUGCAAUUUCAUGCCUUAGGUGAGUGGUCAUUUGCGCUACUGCCAUGUAUGUUGUGUGAGCGUUCCUACUAUAACUAAUACAACUAUUCAAAUUCACAGGAGUGGCAUACAUGGGUUAUCUAUUCUGUGUUUUUAGUUGUUACUGAUGCAGGUGACUAUAGGCAAAUUUUGUACAAGCUGUACAAUUGUAUUCUAGGAAUGGUCAAGUUUUCAGGCAACUUUGCAACUAUCCUUGUGAUGCAUUAUGUCCCUGCCCAUCUUUGUUCCA
RNA transcript from Panicum virgatum (switchgrass), 2270 nucleotides. It is a transcript of the gene named exosome complex component RRP45A-like, with no coding region annotated. The record is from RefSeq and is a predicted model, not a curated record. The transcript is spliced from 8 exons. Lineage: Eukaryota; Viridiplantae; Streptophyta; Magnoliopsida; Poales; Poaceae.